GACGAACGCUGGCGGCGUGCCUAACACAUGCAAGUCGAACGAGGUCCAUGCAGUGGCAACACUGCGGAAGACCUAGUGGCGAACGGGUGAGUAACACGUGAGGAACCUGCCCCGAAGACCGGGAUAACCCUCCGAAAGGAGAGCUAAUACCGGAUACCCCCACCGGAUCGCAUGAUCUGGUGAGGAAAUGGAUUCCGCUUCGGGAGGGCCUCGCGGCCUAUCAGCUAGUUGGUGGGGUAACGGCCCACCAAGGCAUCGACGGGUAGCUGGUCUGAGAGGACGAUCAGCCACACUGGGACUGAGACACGGCCCAG
Molecule: ribosomal RNA, 314 nt
Filed under: uncultured bacterium
Lineage: Bacteria
Description: bacterial SSU rRNA
Rfam family: Bacterial small subunit ribosomal RNA
Source: RNAcentral